GACGAACGCUGGCGGCGUGCCUAAUACAUGCAGGUAGAACGCUGAAGGAGGAGCUUGCUUCUCUGGAUGAGUUGCGAACGGGUGAGUAACGCGUAGGUAACCUGCCUGGUAGCGGGGGAUAACUAUUGGAAACGAUAGCUAAUACCGCAUAAGAGUGGAUGUUGCAUGACAUUUGCUUAAAAGGUGCACUUGCAUCACUACCAGAUGGACCUGCGUUGUAUUAGCUAGUUGGUGGGGUAAGGGCUCACCAAGGCGACGAUACAUAGCCGACCUGAGAGGGUGAUCGGCCACACUGGGACUGAGACACGGCCCAGACUCCUACGGGAGGCAGCAGUAGGGAAUCUUCGGCAAUGGACGGAAGUCUGACCGAGCAACGCCGCGUGAGUGAAGAAGGUUUUCGGAUCGUAAAGCUCUGUUGUAAGAGAAGAACGAGUGUGAGAGUGGAAAGUUCACACUGUGACGGUAUCUUACCAGAAAGGGACGGCUAACUACGUGCCAGCAGCCGCGGUAAUACGUAGGUCCCGAGCGUUGUCCGGAUUUAUUGGGCGUAAAGCGAGCGCAGGCGGUUAGAUAAGUCUGAAGUUAAAGGCUGUGGCUUAACCAUAGUAGGCUUUGGAAACUGUUUAACUUGAGUGCAAGAGGGGAGAGUGGAAUUCCAUGUGUAGCGGUGAAAUGCGUAGAUAUAUGGAGGAACACCGGUGGCGAAAGCGGCUCUCUGGCUUGUAACUGACGCUGAGGCUCGAAAGCGUGGGGAGCAAACAGGAUUAGAUACCCUGGUAGUCCACGCUGUAAACGAUGAGUGCUAGGUGUUAGACCCUUUCCGGGGUUUAGUGCCGUAGCUAACGCAUUAAGCACUCCGCCUGGGGAGUACGACCGCAAGGUUGAAACUCAAAGGAAUUGACGGGGGCCCGCACAAGCGGUGGAGCGUGUGGUUUAAUUCGAAGCAACGCGAAGAACCUUACCAGGUCUUGACAUCCCUCUGACCGCUCUAGAGAUAGAGCUUUCCUUCGGGACAGAGGUGACAGGUGGUGCAUGGUUGUCGUCAGCUCGUGUCGUGAGAUGUUGGGUUAAGUCCCGCAACGAGCGCAACCCCUAUUGUUAGUUGCCAUCAUUUAGUUGGGCACUCUAGCGAGACUGCCGGUAAUAAACCGGAGGAAGGUGGGGAUGACGUCAAAUCAUCAUGCCCCUUAUGACCUGGGCUACACACGUGCUACAAUGGCUGGUACAACGAGUCGCAAGCCGGUGACGGCAAGCUAAUCUCUUAAAGCCAGUCUCAGUUCGGAUUGUAGGCUGCAACUCGCCUACAUGAAGUCGGAAUCGCUAGUAAUCGCGGAUCAGCACGUCGCGGUGAAUACGUUCCCGGGCCU
Molecule: ribosomal RNA, 1367 nt
Filed under: uncultured bacterium
Lineage: Bacteria
Description: bacterial SSU rRNA
Rfam family: Bacterial small subunit ribosomal RNA
Source: RNAcentral